This 394-nucleotide ribosomal RNA is filed under the name uncultured bacterium. Its description in RNAcentral is "partial 16S ribosomal RNA". It matches the Rfam family "Bacterial small subunit ribosomal RNA", at positions 523 to 918 of the family's 1533-position model. The record is from RNAcentral.
AUACGUAGGGGGCGAGCGUUAUCCGGAAUUAUUGGGCGUAAAGAGUACGUAGGUGGUUGCGUAAGCGCAAGGUGAAAGACCGAGGCUUAACUUCGGUGAGCCUUGUGAACUGCGUGACUUGAGUGCAGGAGGGGAAAGUGGAAUUCCUAGUGUAGCGGUGAAAUGCGUAGAUAUUAGGAGGAACGCCAGUGGCGAAGGCGACUUUCUGGACUGUAACUGACACUGAGGUACGAAAGCGUGGGGAGCAAACAGGAUUAGAUACCCUGGUAGUCCACGCCGUAAACGAUGAGCACUAGGUGUUGGCGUAGAAAUACGUCGGUGCCGAAGUUAACGCAUUAAGUGCUCCGCCUGGGGAGUACGCACGCAAGUGUGAAACUCAAAUGAAUUGGCGGGG